AGGAUGUUGGCUUAGAAGCAGCCAUCAUUUAAAGAAAGCGUAAUAGCUCACUGGUCGAGUCGGCCUGCGCGGAAGAUGUAACGGGGCUAAACCAUGCACCGAAGCUGCGGCAGCGACACUCAGGUGUUGUUGGGUAGGGGAGCGUUCUGUAAGCCUGCGAAGGUGGCCUGUGAGGGUUGCUGGAGGUAUCAGAAGUGCGAAUGCUGACAUAAGUAACGAUAAAGCGGGUGAAAAGCCCGCUCGCCGGAAGACCAAGGGUUCCUGUCCAACGUUAAUCGGGGCAGGGUGAGUCGACCCCUAAGGCGAGGCCGAAAGGCGUAGUCGAUGGGAAACGGGUUAAUAUUCCCGUACUUGGUGUUACUGCGAAGGGGGGACGGAGAAGGCUAUGUUGGCCGGGCGACGGUUGUCCCGGUUUAAGCGUGUAGGUGUGUGUUCCAGGUAAAUCCGGUUCACUUUAACACUGAGGCGUGAUGACGAGGCACUACGGUGCUGAAGCAACAAAUGCCCUGCUUCCAGGAAAAGCCUCUAAGCAUCAGGUAACAUCAAAUCGUACCCCAAACCGACACAGGUGGUCAGGUAGAGAAUACCAAGGCGCUUGAGAGAACUCGGGUGAAGGAACUAGGCAAAAUGGUGCCGUAACUUCGGGAGAAGGCACGCUGACACGUAGGUGAAGUGAUUUACUCAUGGAGCUGAAGUCAGUCGAAGAUACCAGCUGGCUGCAACUGUUUAUUAAAAACACAGCACUGUGCAAACACGAAAGUGGACGUAUACGGUGUGACGCCUGCCCGGUGCCGGAAGGUUAAUUGAUGGGGUCAGCGCAAGCGAAGCUCCUGAUCGAAGCCCCGGUAAACGGCGGCCGUAACUAUAACGGUCCUAAGGUAGCGAAAUUCCUUGUCGGGUAAGUUCCGACCUGCACGAAUGGCGUAAUGAUGGCCAGGCUGUCUCCACCCGAGACUCAGUGAAAUUGAACUCGCUGUGAAGAUGCAGUGUACCCGCGGCAAGACGGAAAGACCCCGUGAACCUUUACUAUAGCUUGACACUGAACAUUGAGCCUUGAUGUGUAGGAUAGGUGGGAGGCUUUGAAGUGUGGACGCCAGUCUGCAUGGAGCCGGCCUUGAAAUACCACCCUUUAAUGUUUGAUGUUCUAACGUGGACCCGUGAUCCGGGUUGCGGACAGUGUCUGGUGGGUAGUUUGACUGGGGCGGUCUCCUCCUAAAGAGUAACGGAGGAGCACGAAGGUUGGCUAAUCCUGGUCGGACAUCAGGAGGUUAGUGCAAUGGCAUAAGCCAGCUUGACUGCGAGCGUGACGGCGCGAGCAGGUGCGAAAGCAGGUCAUAGUGAUCCGGUGGUUCUGAAUGGAAGGGCCAUCGCUCAACGGAUAAAAGGUACUCCGGGGAUAACAGGCUGAUACCGCCCAAGAGUUCAUAUCGACGGCGGUGUUUGGCACCUCGAUGUCGGCUCAUCACAUCCUGGGGCUGAAGUAGGUCCCAAGGGUAUGGCUGUUCGCCAUUUAAAGUGGUACGCGAGCUGGGUUUAGAACGUCGUGAGACAGUUCGGUCCCUAUCUGCCGUGGGCGCUGGAGAACUGAGGGGGGCUGCUCCUAGUACGAGAGGACCGGAGUGGACGCAUCACUGGUGUUCGGGUUGUCAUGCCAAUGGCACUGCCCGGUAGCUAAAUGCGGAAGAGAUAAGUGCUGAAAGCAUCUAAGCACGAAACUUGCCCCGAGAUGAGUUCUCCCUGAGACUUUAGGUCUCCUGAAGGAACGUUGAAGACGACGACGUUGAUAGGCCGGGUGUGUAAGCGCAGCGAUGCGUUGAGCUAACCGGUACUAAUGAACCGUGAGGCUUAACCUUACA
Molecule: ribosomal RNA, 1856 nt
Filed under: Salmonella enterica
Lineage: Bacteria; Pseudomonadati; Pseudomonadota; Gammaproteobacteria; Enterobacterales; Enterobacteriaceae
Description: partial 23S ribosomal RNA
Rfam family: Bacterial large subunit ribosomal RNA
Source: RNAcentral